AAACAAAAUUAUAAAAAAAAAAAAAAAAACUCCUCAUAUAUAUUUGAUUUACAGUAUAUAAAAAAUAAUUAUUUUUAAAAGACUUCUAAGUAGACUCAAUGUUUGUAACAAUUCAUAAGAAUUUUUCACUAAAAAUAACAUUUUUUUUUUCUUUUUAUGAUGGUGAUUUGACGAUUUUGUUUUUAAAAUAUUUGAAAUUUAGGUUAGAACACUAUAAUGGAUAAAAGAAAAAGCUAAAAUUUAAUUUAAAUUAUAGCAAGAAAGAAUAUUAAGUUAUAUGAUUAUUAAAUAAUUUUUUAUCUAAAAUAUUAUUAAUUAUAUGACAACAUAAUUUUAAUUAAAUAUCUUAACUUAAAAAAUAAAUGUGUUAUGUAUAUAUACGAAGUGAAAGAAAAAAGUUGUUUUGCCCUUAAGGAUUUAGGACCUUGUGAGUCCCACCUCUCAUAACUCCCUUUGAUCGUAGCAUGAAUGAAGUAGAGCCCAUGUGUCAUUCAAGACAAAUCCUUAUUUACAAGGGUGGAAGAGGAGGAAAUAGUUGAGCCCUAAAUUCCGUGUAGGCUUAAGUUACCAAUUUGUGUUGAAAACUGAGAUAAAGAACCAAUCUCACAAAGGGAAUUAUAGUUAAGCGACCAAUGCAUAAUAAAAAGAAUUGAGAGACCAAAGUGAAGUUAGAAAUUAGAAAAUAAGAGACAAAAAAUAAUAAUUUAGUCAAAUUUUUUUUUGUCUUGCUAAUGGGUGUCAUAAGCAAAUUGGUUAAAGAGUUUAUAAAAAUAAACUUGUCUUGAAAAUUUAAGUCAAACACUAAUCAUCUUUUAUAUAAUAUAUUAAAAUAGACUCACAAAUCAAUUAAAUAACAACUUACAUCCUUGUGUGUUAGAUCAUAGUAUUUGUGUCACAUCAUUUAUAUUCUUAUGUGGCGCCUUAAUAAGUUUCUACAAUUUAUCUUACAUCUUUAAUCAAUUUAGCUUUUGC
RNAcentral lists this long non-coding RNA (972 nucleotides) under Cicer arietinum (chickpea). RNAcentral's name for it is "long non-coding RNA (CARI_LNC002889)". The record is from RNAcentral. Lineage: Eukaryota; Viridiplantae; Streptophyta; Magnoliopsida; Fabales; Fabaceae.